GAAGGAGGGUGCGAGAGGUAAUCGGAAUUACUGGGCGUAAAGCGCAUGUAGGCGGCCGAACAAGUCAGGUGUGAAUUCCUCGGGCUUAACCUGGGAAGUGCACUUGAUACUGUCCGGCUAGAGUUUGGCAGAGGAAAGUAGAAUUCCCGUUGUAGCAGUGAAAUGCGUAGAUAUCGUGAGGAAUACCAGUGGCGAAGGCGGCUUUCUGGGCCAAUACUGACGCUGAGGUGCGAAAGCGUGGGGAGCAAACAGG
Molecule: ribosomal RNA, 253 nt
Filed under: uncultured bacterium
Lineage: Bacteria
Description: partial 16S ribosomal RNA
Rfam family: Bacterial small subunit ribosomal RNA
Source: RNAcentral